This 2639-nucleotide ribosomal RNA is filed under the name Klebsiella pneumoniae. RNAcentral's name for it is "bacterial LSU rRNA". It matches the Rfam family "Bacterial large subunit ribosomal RNA". Lineage: Bacteria; Pseudomonadati; Pseudomonadota; Gammaproteobacteria; Enterobacterales; Enterobacteriaceae. The record is from RNAcentral.
ACUAUCGUUAACUGAAUACAUAGGUUAACGAGGCGAACCGGGGGAACUGAAACAUCUAAGUACCCCGAGGAAAAGAAAUCAACCGAGAUUCCCCCAGUAGCGGCGAGCGAACGGGGAGCAGCCCAGAGUCUGAAUCAGCUUGUGUGUUAGUGGAACGGUCUGGAAAGUCCGACGGUACAGGGUGAUAGUCCCGUACACCAAAAUGCACAGGUUGUGAACUCGAAGAGUAGGGCGGGACACGUGGUAUCCUGUCUGAAUAUGGGGGGACCAUCCUCCAAGGCUAAAUACUCCUGACUGACCGAUAGUGAACCAGUACCGUGAGGGAAAGGCGAAAAGAACCCCGGCGAGGGGAGUGAAAAAGAACCUGAAACCGUGUACGUACAAGCAGUGGGAGCACCUUCGGGUGUGACUGCGUACCUUUUGUAUAAUGGGUCAGCGACUUAUAUUCUGUAGCAAGGUUAACCGUAUAGGGGAGCCGCAGGGAAACCGAGUCUUAACUGGGCGUUAAGUUGCAGGGUAUAGACCCGAAACCCGGUGAUCUAGCCAUGGGCAGGUUGAAGGUUGGGUAACACUAACUGGAGGACCGAACCGACUAAUGUUGAAAAAUUAGCGGAUGACUUGUGGCUGGGGGUGAAAGGCCAAUCAAACCGGGAGAUAGCUGGUUCUCCCCGAAAGCUAUUUAGGUAGCGCCUCGUGAAUUCAUCUUCGGGGGUAGAGCACUGUUUCGGCUAGGGGGUCAUCCCGACUUACCAACCCGAUGCAAACUACGAAUACCGAAGAAUGUUAUCACGGGAGACACACGGCGGGUGCUAACGUCCGUCGUGAAGAGGGAAACAACCCAGACCGCCAGCUAAGGUCCCAAAGUCAUGGUUAAGUGGGAAACGAUGUGGGAAGGCACAGACAGCCAGGAUGUUGGCUUAGAAGCAGCCAUCAUUUAAAGAAAGCGUAAUAGCUCACUGGUCGAGUCGGCCUGCGCGGAAGAUGUAACGGGGCUAAACCAUGCACCGAAGCUGCGGCAGCGACACUAUGUGUUGUUGGGUAGGGGAGCGUUCUGUAAGCCUGCGAAGGUGACCUGUGAGGGUUGCUGGAGGUAUCAGAAGUGCGAAUGCUGACAUAAGUAACGAUAAAGCGGGUGAAAAGCCCGCUCGCCGGAAGACCAAGGGUUCCUGUCCAACGUUAAUCGGGGCAGGGUGAGUCGACCCCUAAGGCGAGGCCGAAAGGCGUAGUCGAUGGGAAACAGGUUAAUAUUCCUGUACUUGGUGUUACUGCGAAGGGGGGACGGAGAAGGCUAUGUUAGCCGGGCGACGGUUGUCCCGGUUUAAGCAUGUAGGCUGGUUGUCCAGGCAAAUCCGGAUAAUCAAGGCUGAGGUGUGAUGACGAGGCACUACGGUGCUGAAGUAACAAAUGCCCUGCUUCCAGGAAAAGCCUCUAAGCAUCAGGUAACAUCAAAUCGUACCCCAAACCGACACAGGUGGUCAGGUAGAGAAUACCAAGGCGCUUGAGAGAACUCGGGUGAAGGAACUAGGCAAAAUGGUGCCGUAACUUCGGGAGAAGGCACGCUGGUGUGUAGGUGAAGUCCCUGCGGAUGGAGCUGAGACCAGUCGAAGAUACCAGCUGGCUGCAACUGUUUAUUAAAAACACAGCACUGUGCAAACACGAAAGUGGACGUAUACGGUGUGACGCCUGCCCGGUGCCGGAAGGUUAAUUGAUGGGGUUAUCCGUAAGGAGAAGCUCUUGAUCGAAGCCCCGGUAAACGGCGGCCGUAACUAUAACGGUCCUAAGGUAGCGAAAUUCCUUGUCGGGUAAGUUCCGACCUGCACGAAUGGCGUAAUGAUGGCCAGGCUGUCUCCACCCGAGACUCAGUGAAAUUGAACUCGCUGUGAAGAUGCAGUGUACCCGCGGCAAGACGGAAAGACCCCGUGAACCUUUACUAUAGCUUGACACUGAACAUUGAGCCUUGAUGUGUAGGAUAGGUGGGAGGCUUUGAAGCGUGGACGCCAGUCUGCGUGGAGCCAACCUUGAAAUACCACCCUUUAAUGUUUGAUGUUCUAACGUUGGCCCCUGACCGGGGUUGCGGACAGUGUCUGGUGGGUAGUUUGACUGGGGCGGUCUCCUCCCAAAGCGUAACGGAGGAGCACGAAGGUUAGCUAAUCCUGGUCGGACAUCAGGAGGUUAGUGCAAUGGCAUAAGCUAGCUUGACUGCGAGCGUGACGGCGCGAGCAGGUGCGAAAGCAGGUCAUAGUGAUCCGGUGGUUCUGAAUGGAAGGGCCAUCGCUCAACGGAUAAAAGGUACUCCGGGGAUAACAGGCUGAUACCGCCCAAGAGUUCAUAUCGACGGCGGUGUUUGGCACCUCGAUGUCGGCUCAUCACAUCCUGGGGCUGAAGUAGGUCCCAAGGGUAUGGCUGUUCGCCAUUUAAAGUGGUACGCGAGCUGGGUUUAGAACGUCGUGAGACAGUUCGGUCCCUAUCUGCCGUGGGCGCUGGAGAAUUGAGGGGGGCUGCUCCUAGUACGAGAGGACCGGAGUGGACGCAUCACUGGUGUUCGGGUUGUCAUGCCAAUGGCACUGCCCGGUAGCUAAAUGCGGAAGAGAUAAGUGCUGAAAGCAUCUAAGCACGAAACUUGCCCCGAGAUGAGUUCU